Molecule: long non-coding RNA, 546 nt
Filed under: Mustela putorius furo (domestic ferret)
Lineage: Eukaryota; Metazoa; Chordata; Mammalia; Carnivora; Mustelidae
Description: lncRNA (ENSMPUG00000024663.1)
Source: RNAcentral
GCCAGAUGGGGGGACGCUUCUACCUCUCUGAAAGUGACCCAGGGUGAAAGAGCUCCUAGGUCUCAGAUUGAGAACAGAUUCUAGACUCUUCCCUACCAAGAACCUGAAUGAUCUGGGAGACCCUAGGAGACACCAGGAUUGGGGCUGACCCAGGCUGAUGUGGUUUGGACUUGACAGAAUGUCACAAAUAAAUCCUCUCCUGCAUUUGCAUAUUAAUUGGAUCGGAGACGUCAAGCAUCUUUCAUUAAAGAAAAUGAUCUGCAUAUUUGGAGACAUAAAAUAGUUAUUUUGAUGGGUUUUUUUUCCCUAAGAUCAGGGGGUGGGGGAGGUAGGUGAUGGGUGCAGUAGAAAUUGAGGUAGAGUGAAGGCAAGCCAACCCCUCUGUCUGAGUUAACCCUGUGCGGGCUGGAGUCCUGGGCCAAGCUUGGGCAGAAGAUCAUUAAUAUGUAAAUCAAUCCAGGAGACCAGGGGCCCCAAGGCAUCUCGGAGUGGCCCAGGAGCCCGACUUGGCCUCUGUGCAAAAGGGACCCCUAUCAGAGAUGUGGG